This is a non-coding RNA of Monodelphis domestica (gray short-tailed opossum), 6782 nucleotides long. NCBI's taxonomy places the organism in Eukaryota, Metazoa, Chordata, Mammalia, Didelphimorphia, Didelphidae. The record is from RefSeq and is a predicted model, not a curated record.
UGGCACGGUCUGACCGCGGAGGAGUGAACGUUGUUGUCAGGACAACGGCUUCCCAGUGGGAGGAGUGGGUACCUCCGGCUUCUCGCCUCGGGGCGGGACGCUGCGGAGAGAUGCUGCAAUGGGAAGACAGCAGUGCCCCUCUCCCGUACGCGAUUGGUUGGUGCUUCCGAAUCAGAGUUAAUUGUGCUCGGGAAGCUGGGAAAGAGCGUCUGUUGGUUUCCAAGGCGAUAGAGAUGGAGGCUAAUAGCAGGUUCCCGGUGAAUACCCGCAGGACUUGACCCCAGGCCACGCCUUCUUCUCGCUUUUCUCUUCUCUUUUACUCCUUCAGAUCCAAGGAAGACCAAUUCCAGGAGGGAAGGAGCAGCACAUGAGCCCAGUGGACCCAGGGCAAAGAGAAGUAGUACUCACCACCUCAUCCAAAAGUACAGCAUAAAGAAGAGCCUGGACCAGGCAUAAAGCUCCAAUGAAGAGACAAAGGCUGGAUAUGAGUAAAUCAAAGAAAAUACAAAGUAUCAAAAAACUGGACAACUCAGUGGAUAGAGCACUGGACCUGGAAUCAGGAAGACUCAUCUUCCUGAGUUCAAAGGUUGCCUCAGACACUUUCAGAAGCUAAAUGAUCCUGGGAAAAUCACUUAAUCCUAUUUGCCUGUUUCCCUCAUCUGUAAAAUGAGCCAAAGAAGGUAAUAGAAAACCAUUUCCAAGAAAAUUUCAAAUGAGAUCACAAAAAGUCAUACCUGACUAAAACAAUUGAAUAGCAAAUCAAAAAACUGUUGCAAAUUUGAAAGUUCCCAAGAAGUAGAGACUAGCUCUGUAACAACUCCAAGCAGAGAUCAAAGGGGGGGGGGAAGGCAGGGUCUACAUGAAUAACUAGAAAAAAAUGAAGCAAUUAUUUAAAAAAUAAAAGCUUGGAAGGAAAAAAUUAGAAGAAACAAUAAAUAGCUUAAAAGAGAAAGUGGUUAACCUUACUCAAGUAAUGGACUCUGAAAGCUAGAACAGAACAAAUAGAAAUUAAUACUCCAUGAAAUAGCAAGAAAUAUUAGAACAAAAUCAAAAGAUCAAAAAAAGAAAGUAAAAGAUAUCUGAUAGCAAAAACAACUAAUUUGGAAAAUAACAAUAGUGAUGAGAGAGAAAGAGCCAUUGGAAAAAAAUUGGCUUUGAAUUUCAUCUACUUUUACCUUUGAAAUCAUGAUUACUACUGCUUCAUUUUUUUUAACUCUAGCUGAAACAGAAUAGGUUCUGCCCUAGCUCUUUGCCCUUACUCUGUAUCUCUCUGUACUUUCAGUGUGAUUCUUAUACAGAACAUUGUGGGACUUUGUUUUUUAAUCCAUUCAGCUAUCCACUUUCAUUUUAUCAUCCCCUUCAGAUUCACAGUUAUGAUAAUUCUGUAUUUGCCUCCAUCCUACUUUUCCCCCUUCUUUACCCUUUUCUCUCUCUUCCUUCACUCUAUUUACAAGUGGUUUGCUUCUAACCAGUGCCUCCCCUGAUUUGUCCUCCCUUCUAGCAGUUACACCCUUCUUUUAUUCUCUACUUCCCUGUAAGCUAACAUCCAUUUAACAGCUGAAUAUGUGUUAUUCCCUCUUUAAGCCAACUCUGAUAAGAAUAAUAGUCAAGUGUUGUCCACCAUUAUCCAUCUUCCUCUCCACUUUUCACAUGUUUCAUGUGAGAUAAUUUGUCCCAUUUUAUCUCUCCCUUCUGCCUUCUCCAAAUAUACCCCUCUUUCUCAUUCUAUAAUUUUAAAAAUAUUUUCCCAUCAUAGUCAACUCACACCCAUGCUCUCUGUUUAUAUAUGCUUGUCCUCAUAAUGAUAAAUUUCUUGGGAAUAUCAUCUUCCCAUGUAGGAAUAUAAACAGUUUAAUCUUAUUGAAUCCUUUAUGGUUUCUCUUUUCUGUUUACUUUUUUAUGCUUGUCUUCAGUGUUCUAUUUGAAAGUUAAAUUUUCUAUUCUAUUUCUGUUUCUAGAACAAUUCCUAUUUCAUUAGGAAUGUCUAAAAGGCCUGUUUCAUUAAAUAUCCAUUCCUCCCCUGAAGUAUUAUAUUCACUUUUGCUAGGUAGAUGAUUAUUGGUUGUAAUUCUAACUCCUUUGCCCUCUGGAAUACCAUAUUUCAAGAUCUCUUAUCUUUUAAUGUAGAAACUGCUAAAUUUUGUGUUAUUCUUACUGUUGCUUCAUGUUAUUUAAAUUGGGUUGUUUUGUGUUUUUUUUGUUUUUUUUUUGGCUGCUUGCAAUUUUUUCUCCUUUACCUAUGAGUGCUGAUCUUUGGCUAAAAUAUUCCUAGGAAUUUUCAUUUUGAUAGCUCUUUCAGGAGGUGGUUGAUGGAGUCUUUCAGAUUUCAUCUUACCCUCUGGUUCUAAGCACCUUUCUUUGAUAAUUUCUAUCAUGACUUUCAGGUAGUCCAAAAAUCCUUAAAUUUCUCUAGAUGAUCUAUUUUCUAGUUCAGUCGUUUUUUUCAAUGAGAUAUUUCACAUUUUCUUCUAUUUUUCAUUCUUUUGAUUUGACUUGAUUUUUUAAUGUCACAUUGAAUCAUAAGCUUCCACUUGCCCAACUCUAAUUUUUAAAUAAUGAUUAAAAAAAAAACCUUUUUCCAGUUAGCCAAUUCUACUUUUUUUAGGUUAGCCUCUUGAUAUUUACUUAUUUAUUUUUAUCACAUAAAACAUAUUUCCUUAUUAUAUAUUAUUUCAUAUAAACAUAAUCUUAUGAAACCAAAACCCCAAAACAUAUACCCAAAUAAAAAGAUGAUAAAUCAUAUGCUUUCUUUCAUCUGCAAUCCUGCUCCAAUAAUUCUUUCUCUGGAGAUGGAUAGCAUUCUUUUUCAUAAGAGCUCUUAUUCAAGAAAAGGGUAAAGUAGGUACCCAUUGAAGUUCCAUUCCAACUUAAUGAUUUUGUGAGUUUAGUAUGUUCCUAUGAGAGACUUCUUGCUUGAGGAAAAUCUUUAAGAAAGAAUCUUGCUUUACGGACUCAAUUUUUGUUUUCUAUGUUAUUGUUUUUUGAUAAUCAACAAGUAGAACCUCUUAGUGAAUUGAAUGAUUCUGUGGAGAGCUAUAGAAAACCAUUUGUGAAACCUGACUACUAAUUUCUUAUGGUCUCAUCAUGCUAAUACAUGUAGAUAAUUUUCAUAAAGGGUUUUUUAAAGAUGAGAAAGAAAGUGUUGUGUAAGUAGCUGUGAUGUUUCCUUAAUUGCCUUUGUAGAGAAGGUAAUAUUAUAUAUAACUUCCCCACUAAUUUGGUGCCUUUUCUUCCCUGGAUUAUCUUGCAAAAUGGUACCUCAAUACUAAUACAAAACAGGAAAAUAAGUCUAAGCUGAGGGCUGCCCAUAUAAGAUGGAUAUAUUUUCAUGGAAUAUAUAAAUAGGUAGCCAGGUAAUAUGAAGGGAGACAUCAAAAGAGAUCUCUGGAAUCUCUCUCCCUUCUCUUGUAGAGAGAGUGUGAGUCUUGCCUUAAAGGAGCAAAAGGAGGCCCUCAAGACUGACUGCUCUGAUCUCCAGUCUUUUGGAUGAGUACUGGACUAGAAUUAUAUUUAUUUGUCCUCCUAAAUAGUGCUAGUAUAGGAGCAUAAUAGGCACAGAAUUUUAAAAAAUAAUAGCUUUCCUGUAUCCUAAAAAAGGACAGGAUAGCCCUUAGUUUAAAAAUGCCAUCUUGACUCAUUUCCACCAAAUACUAGUUUCACAAAAUACCUUCACAAAUAGUGAAUAGUGACUAAAUUCAUUUAUCCAAGUAAAUAGCAAACAGAAUUUGAAUGCGUUACACAUAUUAGUAUAGACUAGCAAACGUAGAAAGUGAAUACAUUCUCCCACUGAGAUGGAAAUAUAUCAGUUCAAAGAAAGACAAAGAGAUUCAAUCUUACCCAAGAUGAAAAUUCUUCAAAGUCUCCAUAGAGGCAAACUGGAAAUGGGGGAUGUAUUUGAGGAGAUAGCUUCUUCUAUAUGUUUUCUACUUCCAAAUUUUGUUUCUCUCUUUUGAUUAUAUUAGUCUCCCAAAUAUUCUGGAACCCUCUAACAGGGGGGGAAAUUAAUACCUUUCCUCUCCAAAGCAACAACUCCUCCUCUCCUGCACUCACAAAGAUGUAUCAGCAGUCUCUCUACCAAAUACAAGGGACUUGUGCUAAAUACUCCAAGCUUGGCUAGAAACCAAGGUUACAAAAGUAGAAGCAGAGGAACAAACACACAAUGAGUUCAAUAAUACAAAUGAAAAGAUUACUGAAAGAAACUACAUACUAAGUAAUUAAAUACAAAAUAAUCCUAGAGAACAAAUAACAAGACUUAUUUUCUUACUUCUUGCAGCAGUAGAAGACUACAUAGGUAGAAUGUUGCCUAGUUAUGUCAUGAUUCCUUUAUCUGUUGUUUUUACAUAACUCUUUGUUAGAGCAAGAAUUCAAUGGCAAAUUUAUGAAUUUGUUUAUUUUACUAUGCUUAUUUGUCACAAGAGAAGAUUUUUUUUUAAGUAUGAAUGGAGUGAAGGGGAAAAGUGGACUAACUGUGAUGCCCAAAAAAAGAAGAAAAGAAAGAAGGCAAACAGGAUAACUUUAAAAUGAACAUUUUGCAUUUAUUACAUACUUUUUAAAGAAAUCAAAUUCCAUAUAACAGCAAAUUGUGGUUUUAUAUAUAAUCUGCUUUUCCUAUUCUUUACAUUUCAAAAUGUCCAUGUUUGUUGGUGUUGACUAUGUUUAGAAUAAUCAUUUAUGUGCACACACACGCACACACACAUACACAUAAAUGGAAGUCUUUGUCCUACAAAGAAAGAACAGAAUAUUGUCAGAAAUGACUGUGAUUAAAAAAGAUAUAUUGUGUCACCACAAUAAUGGAAUUGCUCUAUAGGUAUUUAGGUUUAGUUACUCUCCCCAAUUUCAUCUCAUAAGUAUUAUUUCAAUUUUUCCAUGUAGCACUUCAAGAACUAAGGUUUGGAGGUUCAACUGUAAUGGUUCCUCGAUUAUGCUUCCUCAUUUGAUGGAUUUAUGAUCUCAUUGAUGUUGAUACCAAUGGUAUAAUCCAUCUGUAGCUAUUUAUACAAUAAGGAUACUAUCUAUGUCCUUCCAUAAAUUUUCUCUAGUGGGUACAAUCAACAUGCUAAGGAUCUUCCUCUAGAAUUCUUGACAUGGAAUGGAGUACCAAAGGAUUGCAAAGACUGCCUAAUCAGUUAUCCUUCCCUUUUGCUUCAUGCCCAUCCCACUCCCUUUUUUGGUCAUAUAUUUCUUUGAUGAUAUCAUUUAUACUACUCCUCCCAGACUUAGUAAUAGGUUGCAGUUUAAUCAUACUCACUACGAACCUCUCCAUUACCCUCUGAGUGACCUGCAACUUUAAUUUUUAGGAAACUAUGAUAUUUUAUGUCUGGCAACUGCAUAGUGCCGCCAGAGGAAUAUUGAUGCUAAAAAGACAGGACUUAGUUUCAGGGAGAAACUCAGGGGUCAUUAAAAGCACUGCACAAUUUCCCAAAGGCAAUCUAGCUCACUCUCCUCUUAUUCAAUUCUAGGUCCUCUCUGUCACUUAUUACAAAAAUAGAUCAUCAUAGAAACAUUGACAAAUUUAUUCCAUUUUCCAUUCUUUUGGGGGGGGGGUCUCCUGUCAGUUUCAUCUGUGAAUACCUUUGGACUUGUUUUCACUCCUAACGGUUUGUGUUGUUUAUGAGACAAUAUAGAUCAUAAUUUUCUGCAUUCUUUCUUGGCAGAUUUGUAUAUAAAUGAACUUGUAUUGUAGCCCUUGCUUGCCAUGUCUCAGCUUGGCCAGGAAAUUGGUUGUUACUGACUAAGGUGGCUUCUGGGUUCUUUUGUCCUUCUCAUUGUGGCAACUGCUUUAUAUUAAGUUUUUGCAGGAAAUGAUGAAAAUCAAAAACAAUAUCUUUUCCUAUCUUUGGCAUUUCUAGACUCAUUUGAAUGGGUCAAGUUGAAUGUUUUCAAUGUCUUCUUAUCUUUCGCCCUUCUUCUAAUUUGAUGUUGAUUUUGACCUUUAGUCUAACUAGUCAAUGGUCUCUCAUAUUCAGAAAGCUGAAUCUGCUCCAAUUCUACAUCAGUAACCUGCUGUUUCUUAUCUUUUAAAAUACAGUCUAUUUUAUUUUUAUGGUUUUGUUAGAUAUUCACUGUGUCUACUGUUUUCAAAUUCACUUCUGGAUGAAAGCCAUUAUACAUACAAGCAUGAGUCUGGUACAGCCAAUUUAUAAGCCACUGGCUUCUUUUAUUUCUCAGACUGAAACUUAUUUAAUGUCCCCAAAUACUUUUCAGCAUGCUCUCCUGCUCCUACCUUUGCAUUGAAGUUCCCAAGUAUUAAAGUAAACAUUGGCAUGUUUCAGACAAUCUUAAUAAUUUUUUCUAGAUCUUCUCUGCCUCUUCAUUCUUGGCAAUAGUUGUUCACUCAUAAGUGAUAGCUCCCUUCACACUGUUCUUCUUAGACUUGUGUUCAUUAAAGAUACUAUAAGGCAAUAUCCUAGUCUUACAGCUAGAAGAGGCUAUCUACUCAACCUCCUUAUUCUUGAAUGAAUGAAUGGAUGGGGGAAUAAACCAAGUACUUACUAGAUGCAAAGCACUGGGGAUACAAAUAAAAAAGCAGUACAUUUUGAUCAGCUAGUCUAUAAAAUGAUUGACAUGUGAUAAAACCAAGUCCUUUGUCUCUUCUAGGAGAACUGUGCCCCUUGAUUCCAUUUACUGCAACUUUCUCAUCUUUUGGUUUUAUUUAUUACCAAAAAAUCAAUAUUAAUAUGGCUGGUUUCUUCAGAUAGUGUGGAUAUAUGUUGAUCAUUAGACAAACAUCUCAUAUUUAGAGUACCUACAAAUAAACAUUUAUAGAUAAUUUUAAAAUGUCA